RNAcentral lists this ribosomal RNA (750 nucleotides) under uncultured bacterium. RNAcentral describes it as "bacterial SSU rRNA". It matches the Rfam family "Bacterial small subunit ribosomal RNA", at positions 41 to 784 of the family's 1533-position model. The record is from RNAcentral.
GGGAGGCUUACUGCCAAGUCGAGGGGGCAUCGGGAGGGAAGCUUACUUUCCUUGCCGGCGACCGGCGCACGGGUGAGUAACACGUAUGCAACCUGCCCUCUUCAGGGGGACAACCUUCCGAAAGGGAGGCUAAUCCCGCGUAUAUCGGUUUCGGGCAUCCGUUAUCGAGGAAAGAUUCAUCGGAAGAGGAUGGGCAUGCGGCGCAUUAGCUAGACGGCGGGGUAACGGCCCACCGUGGCGACGAUGCGUAGGGGUUCUGAGAGGAAGGUCCCCCACACUGGUACUGAGACACGGACCAGACUCCUACGGGAGGCAGCAGUGAGGAAUAUUGGUCAAUGGGAGAGAUCCUGAACCAGCCAAGCCGCGUGAGGGAAGACGGCCCUAUGGGUUGUAAACCUCUUUUGUCGGAGAACAAAACCCGGGACGUGUCCCGGACUGCGUGUAUCCGAAGAAAAAGCAUCGGCUAACUCCGUGCCAGCAGCCGCGGUAAUACGGAGGAUGCGAGCGUUAUCCGGAUUUAUUGGGUUUAAAGGGUGCGUAGGCGGUCCGUUAAGUCAGCGGUAAAAUUGCGGGGCUCAACCCCGUCGAGCCGUUGAAACUGGCAGACUUGAGUUGGCGAGAAGUACGCGGAAUGCGCGGUGUAGCGGUGAAAUGCAUAGAUAUCGCGCAGAACUCCGAUUGCGAAGGCAGCGUACCGGCGCCAGACUGACGCUGAGGCACGAAAGCGUGGGGAUCGAACAGGAUUAGAUA